UUCUAGCCCUAAUGGAAGCGGCAUCCUUUUGUGGCGGGGUUCGCCACAAAAGAUAUAGCGGACAGCAGGAAAUAGC
Molecule: small RNA, 76 nt
Filed under: Flavobacterium sp. fv08
Lineage: Bacteria; Pseudomonadati; Bacteroidota; Flavobacteriia; Flavobacteriales; Flavobacteriaceae
Also listed under: 1 other name
Description: Flavo-1 RNA
Rfam family: Flavo-1 RNA
Source: RNAcentral